UUAGAGUUUGAUCCUGGCUCAGGACGAACGCUGGCGGCGUGCCUAACACAUGCAAGUCGAGCGAAUGAAGUUCCUUCGGGAACGGAUUUAGCGGCGGACGGGUGAGUAACACGUGGGCAACCUGCCUCAUAGAGGGGAAUAGCCUUCCGAAAGGGAGAUUAAUACCGCAUAAGAUUGUAGUACCGCAUGGUACAGCAAUUAAAGGAGCAAUCCGCUAUGAGAUGGGCCCGCGGCGCAUUAGCUAGUUGGUGAGGUAACGGCUCACCAUAGCAAUGAUGUCUAGGGGUUUUGAGAGGAAGGCCCCCCACACUGGGACUGAGACACGGCCCAGACUCCUACGGGAGGCAGCAGUGAGGAAUAUUGGACAAUGGAUGGAAAUCUGAUCCAGCCAUGCCGCGUGCAGGAAGACGGCCUUAUGGGUUGUAAACUGCUUUUAUACGGGAGCAAUAAGGGUUACGAGUAAUCCGAUGAGAGUACUGUAUGAAUAAGGAUCGGCUAACUCCGUGCCAGCAGCCGCGGUAAUACGGAGGAUCCGAGCGUUAUCCGGAAUUAUUGGGUUUAAAGGGUGCGUAGGCGGCCAUUUAAGUCAGCGGUGAAAUUUUGCAGCUUAACUGUAACAGUGCCGUUGAUACUGUUUGGCUAGGAUUUGGUUGUAGUGUGCGGAAUGUGUGGUGUAGCGGUGAAAUGCUUAGAUAUCACACAGAACACCGAUUGCGAAGGCAGCACACUAAGUCAUUAUUGACGCUGAGGCACGAAAGUGUGGGGAUCAAACAGGAUUAGAUACCCUGGUAGUCCACACUGUAAACGAUGAUAACUCGCUGUCGGCGAUACACAGUCGGUGGCCAAGCGAAAGCAUUAAGUUAUCCACCUGGGGAGUACGACCGCAAGGUUGAAACUCAAAGGAAUUGACGGGGGCCCGCACAAGCGGAGGAACAUGUGGUUUAAUUCGAUGAUACGCGAGGAACCUUACCCGGGCUCGAACGGUGCAUGAAUAUACGAGAGAUUGUAUAGUCCUUCGGGACAUGUAUCGAGGUGCUGCAUGGUUGUCGUCAGCUCGUGCCGUGAGGUGUCGGCUUAAGUGCCAUAACGAGCGCAACCCUCGUCAUUAGUUGCCAUCAGGUCAAGCUGGGGACUUUAAUGAGACUGCCACCGUAAGGUGUGAGGAAGGGGGGGAGGACGUCAAAUCAGCACGGCCCUUAUGUCCGGGGCGACACACGUGUUACAAUGGGAGGUACAGAGGGCAGCUAUCCGGUGACGGAAUGCUAAUCUCCAAAACCUUUCUCAGUUCGGAUUGGAGUCUGCAACUCGACUCCAUGAAGGUGGAUUCGCUAGUAAUCGCGCAUCAGCCAUGGCGCGGUGAAUAAAAUCCCGGGCCUUGCACUCACCGCCCGUCAA
Molecule: ribosomal RNA, 1395 nt
Filed under: uncultured bacterium
Lineage: Bacteria
Description: bacterial SSU rRNA
Rfam family: Bacterial small subunit ribosomal RNA
Source: RNAcentral